UACAGAGGGGGCAAGCGUUGUUCGGAAUUACUGGGCGUAAAGGGCGCGUAGGCGGCCUUCUAAGUCGAACGUGAAAUCCCCGGGCUCAACCCGGGAACUGCGUCCGAUACUGGAAGGCUUGAAUCCGGGAGAGGGAUGUGGAAUUCCAGGCGUAGCGGUGAAAUGCUUAGAUAUGACAUAGAACACCAAUUGCGAAGGCAGCUGGCUACACGAAUAUUGACACUGAUGCACGAAAGCGUGGGGAUCAAACAGG
Molecule: ribosomal RNA, 253 nt
Filed under: uncultured bacterium
Lineage: Bacteria
Description: partial 16S ribosomal RNA
Rfam family: Bacterial small subunit ribosomal RNA
Source: RNAcentral